This 437-nucleotide ribosomal RNA is filed under the name uncultured bacterium. RNAcentral's name for it is "partial 16S ribosomal RNA". It matches the Rfam family "Bacterial small subunit ribosomal RNA", at positions 29 to 507 of the family's 1533-position model. The record is from RNAcentral.
AGCGAACGCUGGCGGCAGGCUUAACACAUGCAAGUCGAGCGGGCAUCCUUGUGGUGUCAGCGGCAGACGGGUGAGUAACGCGUGGGAACGUGCCCUUCGGCUCGGAAUAACUCAGGGAAACUUGUGCUAAUACCGGAUACGUGCGAGAGCAGAAAGGUUUAUCUGCCGAAGGAUCGGCCCGCGUCUGAUUAGCUAGUUGGUGAGGUUAUGGCUCACCAAGGCGACGAUCAGUAGCUGGUCUGAGAGGAUGAUCAGCCACACUGGGACUGAGACACGGCCCAGACUCCUACGGGAGGCAGCAGUGGGGAAUAUUGGACAAUGGGGGCAACCCUGAUCCAGCCAUGCCGCGUGAGUGAUGACGGCCUUAGGGUUGUAAAGCUCUUUUCUCCGGGACGAUAAUGACGGUACCGGAGGAAUAAGCCCCGGCUAACUUCGUG